UUUUGAACCGCAUGGUUCAAAAGUGAAAGACGGUCUUGCUGUCACUUAUAGAUGGAUCCGCGCUGCAUUAGCUAGUUGGUAAGGUAACGGCUUACCAAGGCAACGAUGCAUAGCCGACCUGAGAGGGUGAUCGGCCACACUGGAACUGAGACACGGUCCAGACUCCUACGGGAGGCAGCAGUAGGGAAUCUUCCGCAAUGGGCGAAAGCCUGACGGAGCAACGCCGCGUGAGUGAUGAAGGUCUUCGGAUCGUAAAACUCUGUUAUUAGGGAAGAACAUAUGUGUAAGUAACUGUGCACAUCUUGACGGUACCUAAUCAGAAAGCCACGGCUAACUACGUGCCAGCAGCCGCGGUAAUACGUAGGUGGCAAGCGUUAUCCGGAAUUAUUGGGCGUAAAGCGCGCGUAGGCGGUUUUUUAAGUCUGAUGUGAAAGCCCACGGCUCAACCGUGGAGGGUCAUUGGAAACUGGAAAACUUGAGUGCAGAAGAGGAAAGUGGAAUUCCAUGUGUAGCGGUGAAAUGCGCAGAGAUAUGGAGGAACACCAGUGGCGAAGGCGACUUUCUGGUCUGUAACUGACGCUGAUGUGCGAAAGCGUGGGGAUCAAACAGGAUUAGAUACCCUGGUAGUCCACGCCGUAAACGAUGAGUGCUAAGUGUUAGGGGGUUUCCGCCCCUUAGUGCUGCAGCUAACGCAUUAAGCACUCCGCCUGGGGAGUACGACCGCAAGGUUGAAACUCAAAGGAAUUGACGGGGACCCGCACAAGCGGUGGAGCAUGUGGUUUAAUUCGAAGCAACGCGAAGAACCUUACCAAAUCUUGACAUCCUUUGACAACUCUAGAGAUAGAGCCUUCCCCUUCGGGGGACAAAGUGACAGGUGGUGCAUGGUUGUCGUCAGCUCGUGUCGUGAGAUGUUGGGUUAAGUCCCGCAACGAGCGCAACCCUUAAGCUUAGUUGCCAUCAUUAAGUUGGGCACUCUAAGUUGACUGCCGGUGACAAACCGGAGGAAGGUGGGGAUGACGUCAAAUCAUCAUGCCCCUUAUGAUUUGGGCUACACACGUGCUACAAUGGACAAUACAAAGGGCAGCGAAACCGCGAGGUCAAGCAAAUCCCAUAAAGUUGUUCUCAGUUCGGAUUGUAGUCUGCAACUCGACUACAUGAAGCUGGAAUCGCUAGUAAUCGUAGAUCAGCAUGCUACGGUGAAUACGUUCCCGGGUCUUGUACACACCGCCCGUCACACCACGAGAGUUUGUAACACCCGAAGCCGGUGGAGUAACCUUUUAGGAGCUAGCCGUCGAAGGUGGGACAAAUGAUUGGGGUGAAGUCGUAACAAGGUAGCCGUAUCGGAAGGUGCGGCUGGAUCACCUCCUUUCUAAGGA
Molecule: ribosomal RNA, 1376 nt
Filed under: Staphylococcus aureus
Lineage: Bacteria; Bacillati; Bacillota; Bacilli; Caryophanales; Staphylococcaceae
Description: bacterial SSU rRNA
Rfam family: Bacterial small subunit ribosomal RNA
Source: RNAcentral